UUUAAUUUAUACCAAGUAUGAAGAUGAACAGAACAUCAAAUUAAAUUUUUUUGGCAAAAUAAAACUCCCAAUCUUGGAUUUAAAGACAAUCUUUUCUGAGUAUAUUAAUUAUUUUCCUAAUUAAAUAGAUUUCACUAGAGCAUACAGAGCAACAAAAGAAGAUAAAAGUUUGAGAAUAAUUGCGAAGGCACAUAAUUUUGGUACUGAGCCCUAGCCAAAAUAAUCCCUCGUGUGAAGAAAGGAGCAGUUUACACAUUUUUUGUAAACUAGUUCACGCCUGUGCUUCGUGAAAGCCUUUGCUUCCCGUCAGCUUUUCGUUGCCUUUUCUGUUAACCACCGGCGUUAAAUUCCUUGAACGCUGCAAAACUUUGAAGUUGGAAUACGUGUUUAGAAAAUGUGCUAAUUUUUGCGUGGCGAUUUUGCAGAAUGGGGCCCCUGAUUGAGUGCGAAGUAAAGUUUAAUAAAUUUUUUAAGCAUCCCAUUUCCGCUUGUAUAUUUCUGAAUGGGUUACGCACAAAGACCUUUAAACACAAGCCAAAUAUCAUAGCCGAUAUAUUUAUUAGCGCUUUACUAUUAAUACUACUCCGCCAUUAUUUGAGCUUGUUAAACUAAAAAGCUUUGCGCUGAAAGGGACGCUUAUUAAAAUUUUGUAGGUCGGAAAUAAGAACCUUCACUUCGUUGCUAAACUAAUUUUUAGAUAAAAUUGAUCUUACCCCGGAGAGUGCAGAAAAUGGAUCCCUAAUCUCUUAUCUCUUGAAAAAAAUUGUUCGCUUUUAAUACGUAUUAUCGUCUAUUCUGUGUUGCGCGAAUCAAGAAGGUUUUUAUAGAUGCGGCCUGUGCACCUGUAGUUUUGCUAAAUAGUCUUUACUAUAACUUUUUAUUUAUUAAACAUUUGAAAUCUUCAAACUUGGUUAACUACAGAAGAGCUAAAAAGUUCACUUCUAACAAGCUGCCAGUUUGUUUAACACUUGGACCCCAUGGACUCUCUCUCACUUGGAAGUCAAUUUAUGAAAGACAUGCAUAUAACUGGUUAUCAUUGGGGACUCCUAUAAGAGCUAGCAGUUGAAAAGUUGUAACCAAAGGAUCUCAAAAAUUAUCCUUUCAAAAAUUGCAAUUUAAAGUCGAAAGGGACCUCACGGCAAUCUUUUUUUAACAUAUAAUAACGCUACUCUUUACUUCUGCCGAAAAGAAGUCUAACAAAUCGCAUGAAAUACCUAACAGGAAACAAUUAACAACAAAACACAAGACUACAAUAUAUUUUUAACUCAAAUAAUAGUACAUCAAAUAGUUAACAAAACCACAACUACUACCCUACAGCGAAAAAUAGACAAUAAAAUUACCCAUAAACUAGUAUAACAAAAGACGAUCAUAAAAUGCAAUAGACUCUAAUGAAUAUA
Long non-coding RNA from Zophobas morio, 1397 nucleotides. RefSeq lists it as uncharacterized. Lineage: Eukaryota; Metazoa; Arthropoda; Insecta; Coleoptera; Tenebrionidae. The record is from RefSeq and is a predicted model, not a curated record. The transcript is spliced from 8 exons.